This 253-nucleotide ribosomal RNA is filed under the name uncultured bacterium. RNAcentral describes it as "partial 16S ribosomal RNA". It matches the Rfam family "Bacterial small subunit ribosomal RNA", at positions 524 to 776 of the family's 1533-position model. The record is from RNAcentral.
UACGUAGGCAGCAAGCGUUGUUCGGAGUUACUGGGCGUAAAGGGUGUGUAGGCGGUUCUUUAAGUUUGGUGUGAAAUCUCCCGGCUCAACUGGGAGGGUGCGCCGAAUACUGAGGGACUAGAGUACGGGAGAGGAAAGUGGAAUUCCUGGUGUAGCGGUGAAAUGCGUAGAUAUCAGGAGGAACACCGGUGGCGAAGGCGGCUUGCUGGACCUGGUCUGACGCUGAGGCGCGAAAGCGUGGGGAGCGAACAGG